AGGUGCGUCGAAUUGUCGAACCGAGGGAAGGCCUAGAUGCUGCUAUGUGUCAAAAUUCGGGAGACCCUCGUUGGGCGUGCUCUCAUCCUGACCGUCGAGGGGCACUAUAUAUAUAGGGUCAUCUGUAUCCAAAACUCCACUUUUCACAGCCCUGUUGCCGAGACUUUGGUCGAGUGGUCCCCCAAUUCCAAGUUCCAGGUAGUUGUGCC
This 209-nucleotide long non-coding RNA is filed under the name Elaeis guineensis (African oil palm). RNAcentral's name for it is "long non-coding RNA (EGUI_LNC029107)". The record is from RNAcentral. Lineage: Eukaryota; Viridiplantae; Streptophyta; Magnoliopsida; Arecales; Arecaceae.